RNAcentral lists this ribosomal RNA (425 nucleotides) under uncultured cyanobacterium. Its description in RNAcentral is "bacterial SSU rRNA". It matches the Rfam family "Bacterial small subunit ribosomal RNA", at positions 356 to 796 of the family's 1533-position model. Lineage: Bacteria; Bacillati; Cyanobacteriota. The record is from RNAcentral.
GGGGAAUUUUCCGCAAUGGGCGAAAGCCUGACGGAGCAAGACCGCGUGGGGGAGGAAGGCUUUAGGGUUGUAAACCCCUUUUCUUUGGGAAGAAGUUCUGACGGUACCAAAGGAAUCAGCCUCGGCUAACUCCGUGCCAGCAGCCGCGGUAAUACGGAGGAGGCAAGCGUUAUCCGGAAUGAUUGGGCGUAAAGCGUCCGCAGGUGGCCAUGUAAGUCUGCUGUCAAAACCCAGGGCUCAACUCUGGUCAGGCAGUGGAAACUACAAAGCUAGAGUCUGGUAGGGGCAAAGGGAAUUCCCGGCGUAGCGGUGAAAUGCGUAGAUUUCGGGAAGAACAUCGGUGGCGAAAGCGCUUUGCUAGACCAGAACUGACACUCAGGGACGAAAGCUAGGGGAGCGAAUGGGAUUAGAUACCCCAGUAGUCA